UUUUGGAUUUUGAGGGCAUGAUAGAAGUUAUUAAGGCAGCCUCCGAAGGAACUUUUGUGCUACUUCAUGGAUGUGCUCAUAACCCUACUGGUAUUAACCCAACACCUGAACAGUGG
Molecule: non-coding RNA, 116 nt
Organism: Arachis ipaensis
Lineage: Eukaryota; Viridiplantae; Streptophyta; Magnoliopsida; Fabales; Fabaceae
Source: RefSeq, a predicted model, not a curated record